Long non-coding RNA from Musa acuminata AAA Group (dessert banana), 861 nucleotides. RefSeq lists it as uncharacterized. Lineage: Eukaryota; Viridiplantae; Streptophyta; Magnoliopsida; Zingiberales; Musaceae. The transcript is spliced from 2 exons. The record is from RefSeq and is a predicted model, not a curated record.
CCAAAGCCCCAAGUAUAAACCCGUCACAGGGACCAAAACCAUUACCCUCGGAGAGAAUAAAGGAGAUGCUGCCGGGGCCGGCGCCGACGCCGACGCUGACGCUGGUGGGAACCCUGUUUGGGCCGGGCAUCUUAAAUGCACUCCGUUGCCCUCUGCAAGCUCCUCUAUAUCCGGCUGUUGGAUGGGUGGGAUCGAUCGGUUCUAUGUUACCUUGCGUGCUGGGGUGAGGCUGAGGGCCGUCUUCGUGAAUCAUUUCGUAGGACGACGACCUCAAGGCGCCGGUUGACAAGAUGCUGCACAAGGCAAUGGCCGUCAACCAGUACAGAAACUUCUGUCCGUCUUUUUAUUUUGCCUGCCCCUUCUUGAUUUCUUUAUCCUGUUCGAUUUGAUCACCAGUUGGUGUUCUGAAUCUGAAAACCUAAUUUUAGGUGUUCAAGAAGCAUUCUUUCUGAUCCCUCGCGUUGAAGGUUUGCGAGAAAUGAGAGUUUGUGGAAGAAUUGAGGGGAGAGGAUGCCAAGUAUCUACAUGAGGUGGUACUGUUAGGGACCACUGAAAGAUUGAGAUGGUCGCGUGAUGUAAUUGAAGAUUGUGGAUGUAUUUCGAUGUUCGAAGGAUUCGAUAACAAAUAGAUAUUGCACACCUGAAAAUUUGUAACAAUGAGCACAGUCAGAGAAAAUUAAAAGGAAAUAACAGUGACAAUUAGGGAAGGAAGGAUAUAUACUAUAUGAAAGAAAAGAAUACUGAAAUAUCUUACAUAAUUUCCUUUCUCUUUUGUUAUUGUAUGCCUAAGUUUCAGACAAAAUUGUUUUUCACAUUGUCUGACUCAGCACAGUUCAAUAUGGUAAUGAUUUAGAACUUGUU